RNAcentral lists this transfer RNA (72 nucleotides) under Ovis aries (sheep). It matches the Rfam family "tRNA". Rfam says of the family: Transfer RNA (tRNA) molecules are approximately 80 nucleotides in length. Their secondary structure includes four short double-helical elements and three loops (D, anti-codon, and T loops). Further hydrogen bonds mediate the characteristic L-shaped molecular structure. tRNAs have two regions of fundamental functional importance: the anti-codon, which is responsible for specific mRNA codon recognition, and the 3' end, to which the tRNAs corresponding amino acid is attached (by aminoacyl-tRNA synthetases). tRNAs cope with the degeneracy of the genetic code in two manners: having more than one tRNA (with a specific anti-codon) for a particular amino acid; and 'wobble' base-pairing, i.e. permitting non-standard base-pairing at the 3rd anti-codon position. Lineage: Eukaryota; Metazoa; Chordata; Mammalia; Artiodactyla; Bovidae. The record is from Rfam by way of RNAcentral.
UCCCUUGUGGCUCAGACAUUAAAGCAUCUGCCUGCAGCGCGGAAGACCCAGGUUUGAUCCCUGGGUUGGGAA